AUACGGGGGGUGCAAGCGUUAAUUGGAAUUACUGGGCGUAAAGCGCGCGUAGGCGGUUUGCUCAGUCGGAUGUGAAAGCCCAGGGCUCAACCUUGGAACUGCAUACGAUACUGGCAAACUAGAGUGUGAGAGAGGAUAGUGGAAUUUCCGGUGUAGCGGUGAAAUGCGUAGAUAUCGGAAGGAACAUCAGUGGCGAAGGCGACUGUCUGGCUCAACACUGACGCUGAGGUGCGAAAGCGUGGGUAGCAAACAGGAUUAGAAACCCUUGUAGUCC
Molecule: ribosomal RNA, 274 nt
Filed under: uncultured bacterium
Lineage: Bacteria
Description: partial 16S ribosomal RNA
Rfam family: Bacterial small subunit ribosomal RNA
Source: RNAcentral